GAGUUCGGGAUUAGUAGAUACAAACUAUUCUCCUACAGUGGUCCUACUUUAUAGCAUAGGAACUAAAAUAAAGUUAGUAUCCUGGGGUAAAGCCUCAUGGAAAAGAACAUAAAAAAAUAUAUAUGUAGGUAUAACGGAGUCACUUAGCUGUACUGUAGAAAUUAACACAACAUUCUAAAUCAACUACACUUCAAUAACAAAAAUAAAUUUAAAAAAUAUUUCUGAGGCAGCAUAGAAAACCUGGAAUAUAGACCAGAUAUUAAAUGACCGUGGGCAAGAAUUAUCAGUUUUGUUUGUUGUAAUAAUGGCAGAAUAGUUAAAUAAAAAAGAAAAAAAAAUGUUUAUUGGUUAUGGGCUCAUACUGAAGUGUUUAGGAUAAAAGUAGAUGAUAGUUUGGAUUUUUCUAGAAACAUUCCAAUAUAGGAAAAGAAAGAAAAAGAAGGGAAUAAAGAGAUGAAACAGGAUUGGAAAAUAUGGGCAUCCUUCAAGAUGAUUAAAGAAACUCAUGUGAACCCAUUAUGCCAGUCUUUCUAAUCUUGCAUGUGUGUUCAUUCACUCAGUCGUGUCUGACACUUCGUGAUCCCAUGGACUGUAUAGCCCACCAGGCUCCUCUGUCCAUGGAAUUUUCCAGGCGAGAAUACUGGAGUGGGUUGCCAUUUCUACUCCAGGAGAUCUUCCUGGCCCAGGGAUUAAACUCAAGUCUCCUGCAUUGACAGGCGUUCUUACCACUGAGCCACCUGGGAAGCCCUCUUUCUAAGCUUAUGUGUUUUCAGUGUUUUCCAUAAUAAAAGUUCCAGUAGGAUCAUUGAGAUGUUGCUUCUUGCAAAUGUUAGAUCCUAGAAUACAAGUUCAAGACACCAAAAGUGUGCCCUAUAUGCUAGAGACUGCAAGGAGUCACGGAGAGAGAUGUUUGGGCUUUUCUGAGACGGGAUUUCAAGCAUGUUAAGGCAAACCAUCUGAUGAUGGAGCGGGCCACCGAGGUGCAUUCCAUUCUCAUUACAGCAGAGGUUUUAUGGAGCCGGGUUUCUCAGCGUGGUGUCUGGCAUGCUGCGAAAGGAGUAGCCGUGCGCUCUUUCCUGUGGGGUCUUGAAACCGGUGGUCGGGAAACCAAGCAGCACACUCGGAGAGGUGGAGAGCUCAGGUUAAUCACGUGGGAAACCAAGCAGCACACUCGGAGAGGUGGAGAACUCAGGUUAAUCACGCGGGCAGGCCCAGAUGUGUCAACACUCCAAGCUCUGAGGCCCAAACAAAGAAGUUACAGGGUUUUUAUAGACAGACGAUAGUGGGCAGCACUAGCUGCUAUAUGCUGGUUUAAACUAAGAAGUUUCGCGAGCCGGAACAGCAAUCUUGACGGGGAGGGGAAUGCCUGAGCUUUACAUGAACAGGCAUGAUUAAGCAGGUUUGCAGGGGCCGGGCGAUUGCAGGACGAGGGUGAGUGAGAUAAGCUCCAAUUCCUAGCAUUGUAAGUCCCCACUUUCUGAGACUUCCUGACCUACGUGAUCCAGAAUUUGUAAGGAGUAAGCUGAGCUACAGAGGCAGGACAAGCAGGAGGUUAUGUAAAAAUUUUCACUUUUCCUCUUCAAUAUUGCUCCUUGUUGAGCGUCUUUGACAGGCUCCAUCUCUGCAGCUGUAACAAGGAGGUCUGACUGCACCAUAACUCACAUACUAAUAACAAAAGCCCGCGUGGCUCGCUGGGGAUUUACUGUUUUCCAGUUCCUGUCAUACAGCUGACAAGGAAUGUCUUAUUUUAUGAUCCUGAAACUGGGCAGGACCCUAAGGGGCCUUCCCGGGACAGACCCUCCCCCGACACCCUCUGCUGUGGCUCUUCUCUG
Long non-coding RNA from Bos taurus (domestic cattle), 1832 nucleotides. The record is from Ensembl. NCBI's taxonomy places the organism in Eukaryota, Metazoa, Chordata, Mammalia, Artiodactyla, Bovidae.